GAUCAUGGCUCAGGAUGAACGCUAGCGACAGGCUUAACACAUGCAAGUCGAGGGGCAGCGAGGGAGUGGCAACACUUCCGUCGGCGACCGGCGCACGGGUGAGUAACGCGUAUGCAACCUGCCCUUCACAGGGGGAUAACCGGGAGAAAUUCCGACUAAUACCGCAUACGUCCUCCGGGGGCAUCCCCGGGGGAUGAAAGAAUUAUCGGUGAAGGAUGGGCAUGCGUGAUAUUAGGUAGUUGGGCGGGGACG
This 252-nucleotide ribosomal RNA is filed under the name uncultured bacterium. Its description in RNAcentral is "partial 16S ribosomal RNA". It matches the Rfam family "Bacterial small subunit ribosomal RNA", at positions 15 to 261 of the family's 1533-position model. The record is from RNAcentral.